This 874-nucleotide ribosomal RNA is filed under the name Limosilactobacillus fermentum. RNAcentral describes it as "bacterial SSU rRNA". It matches the Rfam family "Bacterial small subunit ribosomal RNA", at positions 200 to 1059 of the family's 1533-position model. The record is from RNAcentral. Lineage: Bacteria; Bacillati; Bacillota; Bacilli; Lactobacillales; Lactobacillaceae.
UUAAAAGAUGGCUUCUCGCUAUCACUUCUGGAUGGACCUGCGGUGCAUUAGCUUGUUGGUGGGGUAACGGCCUACCAAGGCGAUGAUGCAUAGCCGAGUUGAGAGACUGAUCGGCCACAAUGGGACUGAGACACGGCCCAUACUCCUACGGGAGGCAGCAGUAGGGAAUCUUCCACAAUGGGCGCAAGCCUGAUGGAGCAACACCGCGUGAGUGAAGAAGGGUUUCGGCUCGUAAAGCUCUGUUGUUAAAGAAGAACACGUAUGAGAGUAACUGUUCAUACGUUGACGGUAUUUAACCAGAAAGUCACGGCUAACUACGUGCCAGCAGCCGCGGUAAUACGUAGGUGGCAAGCGUUAUCCGGAUUUAUUGGGCGUAAAGAGAGUGCAGGCGGUUUUCUAAGUCUGAUGUGAAAGCCUUCGGCUUAACCGGAGAAGUGCAUCGGAAACUGGAUAACUUGAGUGCAGAAGAGGGUAGUGGAACUCCAUGUGUAGCGGUGGAAUGCGUAGAUAUAUGGAAGAACACCAGUGGCGAAGGCGGCUACCUGGUCUGCAACUGACGCUGAGACUCGAAAGCAUGGGUAGCGAACAGGAUUAGAUACCCUGGUAGUCCAUGCCGUAAACGAUGAGUGCUAGGUGUUGGAGGGUUUCCGCCCUUCAGUGCCGGAGCUAACGCAUUAAGCACUCCGCCUGGGGAGUACGACCGCAAGGUUGAAACUCAAAGGAAUUGACGGGGGCCCGCACAAGCGGUGGAGCAUGUGGUUUAAUUCGAAGCUACGCGAAGAACCUUACCAGGUCUUGACAUCUUGCGCCAACCCUAGAGAUAGGGCGUUUCCUUCGGGAACGCAAUGACAGGUGGUGCAUGGUCGUCGUCAGC